AAGGAAAAAGUCACCUACAUCUUUGAUAGCCUGAGGGUUCCCGGUUGGGUUAGUUUGGGGGUAGGACCUUGCUUGUCUCGUCAAACAUUCAACCAAUGUGCAAACAACUUGCCACUCACUUCUACAUCCUUGUCCCUCCCCCAACUUGAUUCACCACUUGAGGUCUGGAUCAUUUAUCUGUCAGGGAGAGAGAAAGAGAAGGAUGGAUGGAAAGGAAGGGACUGGUGGGGAAGGGAGGGUUGGGUUGAUGCAUCUUUAGCCAUUUAAAAAUAAGAAAACAAAAAGAGAAACCUGCUCUGAAAGCCCAUUAUAUUUGCAAUUUUUCCCCCUUUGUAGUUUUGUUCUGUACUAUGGGCGAUGAGCAGUAGAGAGAACUUGAUCAGUUCGGCUACUUUAAGUUCAUUAGUGAGAGGAAAUGCCAUCCAGUGUGAUGAGCCCUGCACAUACUCUUCUCUUGUAACUAGAUAAAAAGGGAAAAUAUGCAUCCAAUCAAAAUGCAGACUGGUUUAAAAUUGUCCCUUUUUCUUUUCUUUUUCUUUUGGUAUUGGUAUGUUCUUUUCGUGGUUGGGGAUUAUGUGCAAUGCCAGUGAAGUAAAUAAAAUAUUUACAAAGC
Sinocyclocheilus rhinocerous is the source of this 613-nucleotide long non-coding RNA. RefSeq lists it as uncharacterized. The record is from RefSeq and is a predicted model, not a curated record. The transcript is spliced from 2 exons. NCBI's taxonomy places the organism in Eukaryota, Metazoa, Chordata, Actinopteri, Cypriniformes, Cyprinidae.